RNAcentral lists this ribosomal RNA (129 nucleotides) under uncultured Dehalobacter sp. RNAcentral's name for it is "partial 16S rRNA". It matches the Rfam family "Bacterial small subunit ribosomal RNA", at positions 355 to 478 of the family's 1533-position model. The record is from RNAcentral. Lineage: Bacteria; Bacillati; Bacillota; Clostridia; Eubacteriales; Desulfitobacteriaceae.
UGGGGAAUCUUCCGCAAUGGACGAAAGUCUGACGAGCAACCGCCGCGUGUAUGAAGAAGGCCUUCGGGUUGUAAAAUACUGUUUUAGGGAAGAACGGCAUCUGUGUAAAUAAUGCAGGUGAUGACGUAC